RNAcentral lists this ribosomal RNA (465 nucleotides) under uncultured bacterium. Its description in RNAcentral is "partial 16S ribosomal RNA". It matches the Rfam family "Bacterial small subunit ribosomal RNA", at positions 338 to 795 of the family's 1533-position model. The record is from RNAcentral.
CCUACGGGUGGCAGCAGUAGGGAAUCUUCCACAAUGGGCGAAAGCCUGAUGGAGCAACGCCGCGUGGGUGAAGAAGGUCUUCGGAUCGUAAAACCCUGUUGUUAGAGAAGAAAGUGCGUGAGAGUAACUGUUCACGUUUCGACGGUAUCUAACCAGAAAGCCACGGCUAACGACGUGCCAGCAGCCGCGGUAAUACGUAGGUGGCAUGCGUUAUCCGGAUUUAUUGGGCGUAAGGGGAAAGCAGAUGGUCUGUUAAGUCGGAUGUGAAAGCCUUCGGCUUAACCGGAGUAGUGCAUUGGAGACUGGGAGACUUGAGUACAGAAGAGGUGGGUGGAACUCGAGGUGUAGCGGUGAAAUGCUUAGAUAUAUGGAAGAACACCAGUGGCGAAGGCAGCUCUCUGGUCUGUCACUGACACUGAGGUUCGAAAGCGUGGGUAGCAAACAGGAUUAGAUACCCCGGUAGUC